AGUGAACGCUGGCGGUAGGCCUAACACAUGCAAGUCGAACGGCAGCACAGUAAGGGCUUGCUCUUACGGGUGGCGAGUGGCGGACGGGUGAGGAAUACAUCGGAAUCUACUUUUUCGUGGGGGAUAACGUAGGGAAACUUACGCUAAUACCGCAUACGACCUACGGGUGAAAGCAGGGGAUCUUCGGACCUUGCGCGAUUGAAUGAGCCGAUGUCGGAUUAGCUAGUUGGCGGGGUAAAGGCCCACCAAGGCGACGAUCCGUAGCUGGUCUGAGAGGAUGAUCAGCCACACUGGAACUGAGACACGGUCCAGACUCCUACGGGAGGCAGCAGUGGGGAAUAUUGGACAAUGGGCGCAAGCCUGAUCCAGCCAUACCGCGUGGGUGAAGAAGGCCUACGGGUUGUAAAGCCCUUUUGUUGGGAAAGAAAAGCAGCAGGUUAAUACCCCGCUGUUCUGACGGUACCCAAAGAAUAAGCACCGGCUAACUUCGUG
RNAcentral lists this ribosomal RNA (492 nucleotides) under uncultured bacterium. Its description in RNAcentral is "partial 16S ribosomal RNA". It matches the Rfam family "Bacterial small subunit ribosomal RNA", at positions 29 to 507 of the family's 1533-position model. The record is from RNAcentral.